This 275-nucleotide ribosomal RNA is filed under the name uncultured bacterium. RNAcentral's name for it is "partial 16S ribosomal RNA". It matches the Rfam family "Bacterial small subunit ribosomal RNA", at positions 338 to 605 of the family's 1533-position model. The record is from RNAcentral.
CCUACGGGAGGCAGCAGUGGGGAAUAUUGGACAAUGGGGGAAACCCUGAUCCAGCAACGCCGCGUGGAGGAUGAAGGUCUUCGGAUUGUAAACUCCUGUUAGGGGGGACGAAGGGCUGUCGGCGAACAGUCGGCAGACUUGACGGUACCCCCAGAGGAAGCCCCGGCUAACUCUGUGCCAGCAGCCGCGGUAAUACAGAGGGGGCAAGCGUUAUUCGGAAUUAUUGGGCGUAAAGGGCGCGUAGGCGGCCUUGUAAGUCUUGGGUGAAAUCCCUC